AGUGAACGCUGGCGGUAGGCCUAACACAUGCAAGUCGAACGGCAGCACAGUAAGAGCUUGCUCUUACGGGUGGCGAGUGGCGGACGGGUGAGGAAUACAUCGGAAUCUACUUUUUCGUGGGGGAUAACGUAGGGAAACUUACGCUAAUACCGCAUACGACCUACGGGUGAAAGCAGGGGAUCUUCGGACCUUGCGCGAUUGUAUGAGCCGAUGUCGGAUUAGCUAGUUGGCGGGGUAAAGGCCCACCAAGGCGACGAUCCGUAGCUGGUCUGAGAGGAUGAUCAGCCACACUGGAACUGAGACACGGUCCAGACUCCUACGGGAGGCAGCAGUGGAGAAUAUUAGACAAUGGGCGCGAGCCUGAUCCAGCCAUACCGCGUGAGUGAAGAAGGCCUUCUGGUUGUAAAGCCCUUUUGUUGGGAAAGAAAAACAGCAGGUUAAUACCCCGCUGUUCUGACGGUACCCAAAGAAUAAGCACCGGCUAACUUCGUG
This 492-nucleotide ribosomal RNA is filed under the name uncultured bacterium. RNAcentral's name for it is "partial 16S ribosomal RNA". It matches the Rfam family "Bacterial small subunit ribosomal RNA", at positions 29 to 507 of the family's 1533-position model. The record is from RNAcentral.